CAUGAUUCAACAACAACCUUUCAUUUUGGGGGCUCGUCCGGGAUCCUUCAGGACAAGAUGGACCUGAUAACCUAUGUGAGCUUACUUCUGCUGACUCCAAAUAUCCUGAGUCUGCCGUUGGAUCCUGAAGACAAUGUCUUCCUGUCCUGGGCUCACUCCUAUGCUGCAUUC
Molecule: long non-coding RNA, 171 nt
Organism: Bubalus bubalis (water buffalo)
Lineage: Eukaryota; Metazoa; Chordata; Mammalia; Artiodactyla; Bovidae
Exons: 2
Source: RefSeq, a predicted model, not a curated record